UACGUAGGGGGCGAGCGUUGUCCGGAAUCAUUGGGCGUAAAGCGCGUGUAGGCGGCUCGGUAAGUCCGGUGUGAAACCUUGGGGGCUCAACCCCAAGCCUGCACUGGAUACUGUCGAGCUUGAGUCCGGGAGGGGAGAGCGGAAUUCCUAGUGUAGCGGUGAAAUGCGCAGAUAUUAGGAAGAACACCGGUGGCGAAGGCGGUCUCU
RNAcentral lists this ribosomal RNA (207 nucleotides) under uncultured bacterium. RNAcentral describes it as "partial 16S ribosomal RNA". It matches the Rfam family "Bacterial small subunit ribosomal RNA", at positions 524 to 730 of the family's 1533-position model. The record is from RNAcentral.